This 253-nucleotide ribosomal RNA is filed under the name uncultured bacterium. RNAcentral's name for it is "partial 16S ribosomal RNA". It matches the Rfam family "Bacterial small subunit ribosomal RNA", at positions 524 to 776 of the family's 1533-position model. The record is from RNAcentral.
UACGAAGGGGGCGAGCGUUGUUCGGAUUUACUGGGCGUAAAGGGCGCGUAGGCGGCGCAACAAGUCACUUGUGAAAUCUCCGGGCUUAACCCGGAGCGGCCAAGUGAUACUGUCGUGCUAGAGUGCGGAAGGGGCUACUGGAAUUCUCGGUGUAGCGGUGAAAUGCGUAGAUAUCGAGAGGAACACCUGCGGCGAAGGCGGGUAGCUGGGCCGACACUGACGCUGAUGCGCGAAAGCCAGGGGAGCGAACGGG